UUGCGAAGAAUGACCCUAUAAUGUAGCAGGUGGGAUUACUACUGGAGAUUGGACCUCUGCUGCAAGUGGGAGAGGAAUCUUUUGCAUCUCAGAGCUGUGUGAAACCCCAGAGUGUGUAGGAACAGAAGGAGGCCUGUCUAGGAGGCAAACAGGUGCAGAUCUCUCAGCAGAAAGGAGUCAGACUGAGAAUUCUGCCUGGAUCUUUACCAAAGUUUCAGUGGUUGUGUCCGGUAUGUGGAUGAAGCUUGCUUGAAGGCAGCAUCUGCAAGGUCGUUCAGCAGAAAAAGACGAAUGAUCUGAUACUGUCAUCGCCAGGGACCAAGACAGGAGCAGAACGGGAUUCAGAGAGGACGCCUGCGCUUCGGGAGGUCCUGCCCCUUGAUGCCAUCCAAGCCCCCUGGGGGACCCUCGCCCGGCGUGGGGGCUCCUGGCGCAGCACGGAUCGAGUUUCGCUUGUGCUGCUCCUUGUCACCAGUAACUCGUCUUGCCGGCUCUGCUCUUCAAGGGCUGCAGCUCUUGGGGCAGCUGACCCUUUUGCUGUCCUUUACGGAUGGCACGUGUCCCCAUUAUCCCAGCCUGCUGGUCACUCAAGUGAAAUGUUCAAAAAAAAAGUAUAGCAAAAUACAGCAAAUAGCAUCAAAAAGGUUUUGCAGAUGUGGUAACUCCUCCUGGUCGCAAUAAGCAGACUAGUUUAUUCUUGCUGUAAUA
This is a long non-coding RNA of Rhea pennata, 708 nucleotides long. RefSeq lists it as uncharacterized. The transcript has 5 exons. The record is from RefSeq and is a predicted model, not a curated record. Lineage: Eukaryota; Metazoa; Chordata; Aves; Rheiformes; Rheidae.